GACGAACGCUGGCGGCGUGCCUAAUACAUGCAAGUAGAACGCUGAAGGAGGAGCUUGCUUCUCUGGAUGAGUUGCGAACGGGUGAGUAACGCGUAGGUAACCUGCCUGGUAGCGGGGGAUAACUUUUGGAAAGGAAAGUUAAUACCGCAUAAUAUUCGAUGUUCCAUGACAUUUGCUUAAAAUUUGCACUUGCAUCACUGCAAGAUGGCCCUGCGUUGUUUUAGCUAGUUGGUGGGGUAACGGCUCAACAAGGCGAAGAUACAUCACGGACCUGAGAGGGUGGUCGGGCAAACUGGGACUGGGACACGGCCCAGACUCCUUCGGGAGGCAGCAGGAGGGAAUCUUCGGCAAAGGAGGGAAGGCUGACCGAGGAAAGACGCGGGAGUGAAGAAGGUUUUCGGAUCGUAAAGCUCUGUUGUAAGAGAAGAACGAGUGUGAGAGUGGAAAGUUCACACUGUGACGGUAUCUUACCAGAAAGGGACGGCUAACUACGUG
This 495-nucleotide ribosomal RNA is filed under the name uncultured bacterium. RNAcentral describes it as "partial 16S ribosomal RNA". It matches the Rfam family "Bacterial small subunit ribosomal RNA", at positions 28 to 507 of the family's 1533-position model. The record is from RNAcentral.